RNAcentral lists this unclassified non-coding RNA (351 nucleotides) under Hevea brasiliensis (rubber tree). Lineage: Eukaryota; Viridiplantae; Streptophyta; Magnoliopsida; Malpighiales; Euphorbiaceae. The record is from RNAcentral.
CAGAAGAGAAGAGAAGAUAGAGUGAGAGAUAGAGAGGCAAUUGAAAAACGACGCAGUAUGGCGAUGAUCGAUUCGGCACUUGAUUUCCUGCUCCCGUCCUGGUGGGAGAUCAAGGUCACUGUGGCUGGUGCCAUAUUUGCUAUCGCUUUAUUGGUUCUUUGCGUGGACUGGAGGAGGCGGAGAUACUGAAGGUGCUGGUAGUGAUCGAUCGCAGAUUUUGGACAAUUCCGGUAAUUCUGGGGAUGGAAUUGAUGAUAGAGACAAGAUGGGUCAGCUGAAAGGAGAUCAUCAGGCCAAUUCUGCUUAUAUAAUCAAGUUGGAAUUGUUGGCAGCUAAGAAUUUGAUUGGUGC